Molecule: ribosomal RNA, 440 nt
Filed under: uncultured bacterium
Lineage: Bacteria
Description: partial 16S ribosomal RNA
Rfam family: Bacterial small subunit ribosomal RNA
Source: RNAcentral
CUACGGGUGGCACCAGUGAGGAAUAUUGCACAAUGGGGGGAACCCUGAUGCAGCAACGCCGCGUGGAGGAUGACGCAUUUCGGUGUGUAAACUCCUUUUAUAUGUCAAGAAAAUGACGGUAGCAUAUGAAUAAGCACCGGCUAACUGCCGUGCCAGCAGCCGCGGUAAUACGGAGGGUGCAAGCGUUACUCGGAAUCACUGGGCGUAAAGGACGCGUAGGCGGGUUGGAAAGUCAGGUGUGAAAGCCGACAGCUUAACUGUAGAACUGCACUUGAAACUUCUAAUCUAGAGUAUGGGAGGGGGAGAUGGAAUUAGUGGUGUAGGGGUAAAAUCCGUAGAUAUCACUAGGAAUACCUAAAGCGAAGGCGAUCUCCUGGAACAUUACUGACGCUAAGGCGUGAAAGCGUGGGGAGCAAACAGGAUUAGAUACCCCGGUAGUC